UACGAAGGGUGCAAACGUUGCUCGGAAUUAUUGGGCGUAAAGCGCACGUAGGCGGCUUUGCAAGUCGGAUGUGAAAUCCCUCGGCUCAACCAAGGAAGUGCAUCCGAAACUGCAGAGCUUGAGUACCAAAGAGGAUCGCGGAAUUCCCGGUGUAGAGGUGAAAUUCGUAGAUAUCGGGAGGAACACCGGUGGCGAAGGCGGCAUCCUGGACCGGCAUUGACGCUGAGGCGCGAAAGCCAGGGGAGCAAACGGG
RNAcentral lists this ribosomal RNA (253 nucleotides) under uncultured bacterium. Its description in RNAcentral is "partial 16S ribosomal RNA". It matches the Rfam family "Bacterial small subunit ribosomal RNA", at positions 524 to 776 of the family's 1533-position model. The record is from RNAcentral.